Molecule: ribosomal RNA, 450 nt
Filed under: uncultured bacterium
Lineage: Bacteria
Description: partial 16S ribosomal RNA
Rfam family: Bacterial small subunit ribosomal RNA
Source: RNAcentral
GUGGGGAAUAUUGCGCAAUGGGCGAAAGCCUGACGCAGCGACGCCGCGUGAGGGAUGAAGGUUUUCGGAUCGUAAACCUCUGUCAGAAGGGAAGAAACUACAUUGUGCUAAUCAGCAGUGUACUGACGGUACCUUCAAAGGAAGCACCGGCUAACUCCGUGCCAGCAGCCGCGGUAAUACGGAGGGGGCUAGCGUUGUUCGGAAUUACUGGGCGUAAAGCGCACGUAGGCUGUAGUGUAAGUCAGGGGUGAAAUCCCACGGCUCAACCGUGGAACUGCCUUUGAUACUGCACAACUUGAAUCCGGGAGAGGGUGGCGGAAUUCCAGGUGUAGGAGUGAAAUCCGUAGAUAUCUGGAGGAACAUCAGUGGCGAAGGCGGCCACCUGGACCGGUAUUGACGCUGAGGUGCGAAAGCGUGGGGAGCAAACAGGAUUAGAUACCCGUGUAGUCC